UUAAUUCAAAAAGACUGGCCCAUCUUCCACCUAAAUCUCAUCACCAUAUAGGUAUUCUACCAAUGAACUAAAUGAGUAGAUGAAAGAGUUUUUACCCUGCAAAUGUUGAAGUUUAUUAACUUCAAGGUUUAUCUUUUGGUGAUGGAGUCUCAUGGUCUUGAAAUUUGGAAGUUUGUUGACUUUUCAGGUUCUUUUAAUGUUGUUUCUUUAACUUUGCAAAUUUUGAUGUACUUUAAGAAUUAAUCUUUGUCAAUAUUUUGAAAAUUGCAAGAUCUAUCUUAAAUUUGUGAGCCUUAGUUACUCCUUUAAUGCUGCACAAUUUUAGCCUUUUAAAUUGUUUAUUUUGUGGUGAUUAUUUUUAUGCAUAUUAUUGUUAUUUAACAUAGAAUAUCAUUCCAAAAUCUUUACAAAAAGAAAACCACACAUGAUAUGUUCUUUGGAUCUGACAGGGUUGCAUCGGGAAUUGUAUGGUGGAAGUGGUGAAAGAUGCCACAAUCGAGCAUGAAAAAUCUGAUUGAUAAGUUGUUGGAUCUUUGGAGGUUUUGAUUGAUAAGGAAUAUGUUGCUACUACUUGUUAAAUGGUUGAAAAGACAAAUUGUAAAAGAGUUUAUAGCAUGCAGUUCAUGCUCCAUAACUUUUGCAUGUUAUACAACUUUUCAUAUAUUUUGUUAGGAUUUUAUUUAAAUACAAGUUGAAUGUAAAAAGUUUUUACUCUAUUGUCAAUUACAACCGU
This 733-nucleotide long non-coding RNA is filed under the name Cicer arietinum (chickpea). RNAcentral describes it as "long non-coding RNA (CARI_LNC002321)". Lineage: Eukaryota; Viridiplantae; Streptophyta; Magnoliopsida; Fabales; Fabaceae. The record is from RNAcentral.